GUGCUCGCUUCGGCAGCACAUAUACUAAAAUUGGAACGAUACAGAGAAGAUUAGCAUGGCCCCUGCACACGGAUGACACACAAAUUUGUGAAGCGGUUCAUAUUUUU
Molecule: small nuclear RNA, 107 nt
Filed under: Zalophus californianus (California sea lion)
Lineage: Eukaryota; Metazoa; Chordata; Mammalia; Carnivora; Otariidae
Source: RNAcentral